GAUUUGGGUAUCUCUGUGUCAUUUCGAUAGCUGGACCUCAUGCUAAGCUGGUUCACUUUAUCAGCCUCAAUUUGUCACUAGGAAAUAGCCUGUGGAUAAGGCCGAUUCUCAGCACUGUAAGGAGACAUCACUAUUUAACGCCUAUUACAGGGCCUGAUUAAGCAAAUGGAAAUUACCUGACAAGUUGCCCCACAUGUCUGCUUAAACGCUUGCUCCAGAGGUAAUAUUUACUGUGCCCUGACUUGUAGAGCUGGCUAUGAAGGUGUCAGCUUGCUCUUUCAUGGCUGAGCUUUUACUGAGGUUGGUUUAAAUGCAGGGUGACUUGCUUUUCCCCUCUUUGUACUAACAGUAAUGAGACAGGGAAGGAAGGAUGUGAAGGGGAGCCCUGUAAAUGACAGCCUGAGCCGAAGACCGCACCUAGUAAACUACCUGCAUGCAGCACAACUCACACCUGGACUACAACUGUGGGGGACCUUGUAUGUGAGCAGCAUGGAGGUGUUGUCAGAUGGCACAGGUCCGGACACGCUGCUUCUCCCAGAAGACAGGAGGGACCGCCUGGGCGUAUUUGGACAACCAGCCGUGCUGCUAUCUCUCCAGUCCCAGUGCAGGGAGAUGCUCCGGAGCGCAUUGCGCUGUGUGAACAACGCCCACAGUAUUCUGCCCUUGGCACCAGCAGCUGGAGAAGAAUGGGAGAGCUGCACCGGCUUUCCCACAAUGAGCUCCUCAGAGCCGGGCAGAGAAUAGUGUUCUGUCUCGUGGAGAAACUCAGAAUUUAUUUCAGCUCAGUUUGGGACUCACAGGGUUUCUAGAAAUUCUCUCUAAAUACAGUUCUGGAAAGAGAUUAAAAUGCAGGAUUUUGAACCAAGAAGCUUGAGCAGCCCAAGCCAACUGCCUUCCCAUGAAAAUGGAGGUGUAGAAGGCUUCGGCUGUGAAGCUGCCGAUCUUUGGACCACCACACCAGCUGGAUUAGAGAGUUUGGGUACCUUUGUUUCUCUCCUUCAGUCAAGGACUGAUUUCUGUGGCUGCUCAGCUCUAUCUGAAGAACUUGCAUUUCCAGAGUGGCCUUUGACAAAGUGAGCACAGGCCUUGACCAGUUCUGAAAAUCUUGACUCAAACUCUUCAGAGGUCGUCCAAGAAGUGUAAAUGUUUCUCAACGUUUGGACAAAAAUAAUUAUUUAUAGGCUCACUCAGAACACCGAAUACUUUACUGGAUAUUUCAUGUGUGAGUUGGUUCACAGGAGUCUGGUGUGACUGGACAUACUACACAAAUUACAGACACACCCCGAACUUGAAAUACUCCUGUUUUACCAGAGCCAAUCAUAUUUCUAUGUUUGCUUGUCAUAAUAUGUAUCUAAUAACUGAAUGUGUGCUGAUGGCACAUUCCUAGUAACCUAAAACAUUAUCAAAAACACAGGGCUAUCUCCAGCUGCAGACCCUGUUUGUGACAGCAGUGUUUGCUAUUGAAUCACAAACCACAGAAAACAGUGAUUUGCACAAGAACGGCGAAUGCAUAAGAAGUGUGGUGAACUCCACUUUUGCACAGGAAGAGGGAAGGAAGAAAAACAUAUUUAUCUUACUCGUGGCUAAACGAUAGUGCAAACCAGUAAUUAUGUGUAAAUUAUGACCUUGCCCCCUUGCAGUCAGCUCCUCAGUAAACAUGACCACAUUUGACUUCCAUCCCCUCAGCAGUCCAAAGCGUGAUACAUGCAUCAUUGUUUUCAGAGCAAGUUAAAUGCUUCUCUUGAGAUAUUUUUUUUUCAAUGACAACCUAUAUUUUCAGAGAUCAAGAUCUUAAAUGAAAAGCUGGUCUUUCCCAGGUCUGGGGGAUUGUCACUGAAUUAUAAAACUUUGACAGUGUAAUAUUAGCUUUUAUAAAUUUUGAUCUUUCCUUUCACACUUUUCUAUAGCUAAAAGGCAUUAAAUAUAAGUUUAAAAAUAUUUUUAUUUUUAAAUAUGUACGUUUUUAAUUUUCAUUCAAUAUUCUGUAAUAUUCUCAAACCUGGACAAAUGUUGAACAAUUGCAGAAAAUGAAGUGAUAAAAUAAACCCCUAACUAGGAUAUCA
Molecule: long non-coding RNA, 2063 nt
Filed under: Anas platyrhynchos platyrhynchos (common mallard)
Lineage: Eukaryota; Metazoa; Chordata; Aves; Anseriformes; Anatidae
Description: lncRNA (ENSAPLG00000025792.1)
Source: RNAcentral